UGGAGCUUCAAACCCAACUACACCCCUAGCUCUUAUAGCCCCACAACCCCCCUAGGCACCGUGUGCUUGGUUUUAGGUUGGGGCGACCGCGGAGUACAAUAAAACCUCCACAAUGAAUGGGAACACCCCCUUAUCUGAGGGCCACACCCCCUAAGAAUUAGAACACUAACAUAAAAUGAUCCAUUACUUGAUCAAUGAACCAAGUUACCCUGGGGAUAACAGCGCAAUCCAUUUCAAGAGCCCCUAUCGACAAAUGGGUUUACGACCUCGAUGUUGGAUCAGGGUACCCCAGUGGUGCAGCAGCUACUAACGGUUCGUUUGUUCAACGAUUAAAACCCU
This 339-nucleotide ribosomal RNA is filed under the name Mantidactylus melanopleura. Its description in RNAcentral is "partial 16S ribosomal RNA". It matches the Rfam family "Bacterial large subunit ribosomal RNA", at positions 2094 to 2597 of the family's 2925-position model. Lineage: Eukaryota; Metazoa; Chordata; Amphibia; Anura; Mantellidae. The record is from RNAcentral.